UACGAAGGGGGCUAGCGUUGCUCGGAAUCACUGGGCGUAAAGCGCACGUAGGCGGCUUUUUAAGUCAGAGGUGAAAUCCUGGAGCUCAACUCCAGAACUGCCUUUGAUACUGAGGAUCUUGAGUCCGGGAGAGGUGAGUGGAACUCCGAGUGUAGAGGUGAAAUUCGUAGAUAUUCGGAAGAACACCAGUGGCGAAGGCGGCUCACUGGCCCGGUACUGACGCUGAGGUGCGAAAGCGUGGGGAGCAAACAGG
RNAcentral lists this ribosomal RNA (253 nucleotides) under uncultured bacterium. RNAcentral describes it as "partial 16S ribosomal RNA". It matches the Rfam family "Bacterial small subunit ribosomal RNA", at positions 524 to 776 of the family's 1533-position model. The record is from RNAcentral.